This 1983-nucleotide unclassified non-coding RNA is filed under the name Camponotus floridanus (Florida carpenter ant). RNAcentral's name for it is "basic-leucine zipper transcription factor A, transcript variant X2". Lineage: Eukaryota; Metazoa; Arthropoda; Insecta; Hymenoptera; Formicidae. The record is from RNAcentral.
ACAAUAGUUUUGACGGCAAUUGUAUUUUGAAAUAUACGAUUCAAUAAAUGUCACAAAAACGCGCGCCGAAAUUUGCGUCGUGUGACCGUGUGACGUAUGUUAUACGCAGUCAACUUUAGUCACCUUGAGUUAUCGGUCGCGAGUCGCAGAUCGUCCGGGAAUGUUGGCGUUACAAGAAGCUGAGAGCUCGUAUCAACGUAUUACUCGAUCGUGUCGCAGUAUUAAAAAUGCCCCUCGUUCCCCGUAAUUGUUACAAUUAACAUUUAUCGAUCCGCGCGAUUAAUGACUGGUAAGCCUAGAAAAAAAAUCCUAACCUAAAUUAAUCGUCUUCUAAAUACUUCUCACUCGAAACAGAUAUAUCUCGCGCAUCACGCUUUAAAAUUAUUAUUCAGAUAUAAUUUGCUCGUCAUUUUCGGAUUGAAAACAUGGAAUCAAAUGAAUCGAAUGACAAUGAUUCAAGUUCAUUAUUGAAUGAAAAAGCGUGAUGUACAUAGAUCGUGUUACAUAUCGUAAUAUUUAUCUCACGCGCACAAUAUUGAAUUUUGAAUUAUCUAUAUAUCGUUAGAUGGCACUUUAGCCAUUGACUCAUUUUUGUAGAAACAUGUAGUAUCAAGGUGAAAUUAUCGAGAUAUAUCUUUCUUAAACUUUCUUUGAUUAAAAAAGCAUCGCAGAUGUGGGACAGAUCGAAUUAUUUGUGUGCUAUUUGUUAACAUCUCGGAGGGCGAUGACAGACUUGGCCGUUCACUUAUCGAGGGCCAAGAAGAUCAUAGCUUUCGCAUUGUUUUUUUGUUGUAUUAUAAUAAAGUGCGCGUUAUAUAUGUGAUUGAUAAGAUCGGGAGUGUCGUACAAAGUGUCGCGCGAUUGUCGUAUUCUAUUGAUUAGUGCGCGUGCGAUGCAAUUAACAGUAUUUUCGUGAGUGUCCUGUGAGUGCCAUGACGAAGCAGCGAGAGAUGAACAAGAGAGAGGAAGAAGAGGAGCAGGAGAAGGAGAUCGAGGAGAUAUCGAAUUACGAUGAAGCAGCCGUGAGAGAUCAAUUCGGCAAACUCUCGUCUCGCGCAUAAAACCAAUGAAAGGGAAGAUGUUUUGGGCCUAAAGUGUAUUUUCCAUUCAACCUUCUCGUCGGAAUGUUGUACGCCUACUGCAUUCCCACGAGUGAAAGCUUAAAUGAGAAUCCCUGGGUUUUAUUGUCGACUCUUCACGGAGCGUACCACGAUGCGCCCUUACGUCCGACCCUUGUCAAGGCAGCAUGGCAUCGUGGGUUAACGUGACCCAAGCACGACGUUCAUCCGUAUUUCCUACCUGGGCCCAGGUAUCGGACCAGGCCCCACAAGUAGAUCGCGCGAUCCAGGAUUGAGCAAUGGGAGUCUCGGCGAGAAAUUUCGUCUUAACGUCUUAACCGCCUUGAAAGAGCGGAGUCCUUGAAGCCUGAAGCCGGUCGACCGACGCGGCGCAGUACAAUCUUAUCCACACGCGCUCGUUGCGAUAGCGCGUGGCUAAUCUGCCGUGGACUUUACUCCUCUAAACUCGUCGUUUGGGUCAGCCUCCAGAAUAGCGACCAAUUUCGACAACGGGGUUUCUUCGAACGCCAAGAAUCGUCUUUGACGUAACUUCGAGAAUACGUCAGCGAUGUAUUUUGAUAUAAGCAAAACUUUAUAUAAUAUAUAAUAUAUAUAAAUUUGGAAAUAUAUAUCAUAGAUUAAAUUGCCGCUAACGUGACGAUCUGUUGGAACGAUAGUGUUUCGACCUUGGCCGCGGUUCAUGUAAAAUCCGAGGACCCAUCUCCGGUCGCGUCCCCGAGGACAUUUGUCAAAUCGGGACGUUCGAUCCAGCGCGCACGUGAUAACUGUGACGAAAGGGAAACGUCAGUAUACGAAUGGGCUUCCACAUCAAGACAUAGUACUGAGAAAGUAGGAGAAAGGGAGAAAUAUGUGCGUCAGAUCCGUCUUUCUAGACGUUGUAUGUAAGAGAAAGAGAGAGAGAGAA